This 800-nucleotide ribosomal RNA is filed under the name Meridiastra medius. RNAcentral's name for it is "partial 16S ribosomal RNA". It matches the Rfam family "Bacterial large subunit ribosomal RNA", at positions 1244 to 2568 of the family's 2925-position model. Lineage: Eukaryota; Metazoa; Echinodermata; Asteroidea; Valvatida; Asterinidae. The record is from RNAcentral.
CCCCAAAUUGUAAAAACUUAUAGGGAGAUUUCAUUGGUUUGAAAGUCAUAAUGUUGAAAUUAGUAGGGAAAAUUAUAUUUUUUGUGAAUUAAUCAAUCCUAACUUUGGAUGGAGUAAUAGUCUAUAGUCGAGAAAUUAGUUUAUUCAGGUUGUCUACUAACACAAGUAAUAUAUUAAAGAAUAAAAUAAGGAAAAGGAAUUCGGCAAAUCAUAACUUCGCCUGUUUACCAAAAACAUCGCUCUUUGUAAAGAGUCUAAUACAUAAAGAGUCCUGCCUGCCCGGUGACUUAGUUAAACGGCCGCGGUAUCUUGACCGUGCAAAGGUAGCAUAAUCAUUUGCCUUUUAAAUGGGGGCUGGUAUGAAUGGCAAGACGGGAGUUAAGCUGUCUCUUUCUUAUAAUCCUGAAGUUAAUAUUUCCGUGAAGAAGCGGAAAUAUAGUCGUAGGACGAGAAGACCCUAUCGAGCUUUAGUAGAAAUAAGGUGCAAUUUAUUAACGCUAUUUUAUUGCUAAUAAAUAAUUAAAAAUGGUUGUAUGAUUUUACUGUAAAAUAGGGGUAGUAUGCAUUUAGUACUUAGGUUGGGGCAACCGCGGAGAAUAAAAAUCCUCCGCUAAUUUAUUAGAAAAAAAAUUUUUUUAUAAUAUAAGGUUUAUUUAUAAAGUGAUCCACUAGGAAAGGUGAGCAAAAGAAUAAGUUACCGUAGGGAUAACAGCGUAAUUUUUUUGGAGAGUUCAUAUUGAUAAAAAAGUUUGCGACCUCGAUGUUGGAUCGGGAUUUCCUAGGGAUGCAGCAGUUCCUAA